RNAcentral lists this ribosomal RNA (442 nucleotides) under uncultured bacterium. Its description in RNAcentral is "partial 16S ribosomal RNA". It matches the Rfam family "Bacterial small subunit ribosomal RNA", at positions 338 to 795 of the family's 1533-position model. The record is from RNAcentral.
CCUACGGGGCGCUGCAGUGGGGAAUAUUGGGCAAUGGACGCAAGUCUGACCCAGCAACGCCGCGUGAAGGAAGAAGGCUUUCGGGUUGUAAACUUCUUUUAAGGGGGAAGAGCAGAAGACGGUAUCCCUUGAAUAAGCUACGGCUAACUACGUGCCAGCAGCCGCGGUAAUACGGAGGUGGCAAGCGUUGUCCGGAUUUACUGGGUGUAAAGGGCGUGCAGCUGGAGAGACAAGUCAGAUGUGAAAUCCAUCGGCUCAACCCGUGAACUGCAUUUGAUACUGGUUCCCUUGAGUGUCGGAGAGGUAGUCGGAAUUCGUUGUGUAGCGGUGAAAUGCGUAGAUAUAAGGAAGAACACCAGUGGCGAAGGCAGAUUACUGGACGAUAACUGACGGUGAGGCGCGAAAGCGUGGGGAGCAAACAGGAUUAGAUACCCCGGUAGUC